AAAAACAUCGCCUCUUGCAUAACCACAGUAUAAGAGGUCCCGCCUGCCCAGUGACGACUUAGUUCAACGGCCGCGGUAUUUUGACCGUGCAAAGGUAGCGUAAUCACUUGUCUUUUAAAUGAAGACCUGUAUGAAUGGCAUAACGAGGGCUUAACUGUCUCCUUCCCCCGGUCAAUGAAAUUGAUCUCCCCGUGCAGAAGCGGGGAUAAAACCAUAAGACGAGAAGACCCUAUGGAGCUUUAGACACACAGGUGGCCCAUGUCAAAUAACCCCCGCUAAGGGCCUGAACUAAGUGGAACCUGCCUUGAUGUCUUCGGUUGGGGCGACCAUGGGGAAUACAAAACCCCCACGUGGAAGGGGAGCACACCCCUAAGUUACUUCUUCUCCCGCAAGCCAGAGCAACGGCUCUAACCAGCAGAAAUUCUGACCAAACUGAUCCGGUAAUACCGAUCAACGAACCAAGUUACCCUAGGGAUAACAGCGCAAUCCCCUUUUAGAGCCCAUAUCGACAAGGGGGUUUACGACCUCGAUGUUGGAUCAGGACAUCCUAAUGGUGCAGCCGCUAUUAAGGGUUCGUUUGUUCAACGAUUAAAGUCCUACGUGAUCUGAGU
RNAcentral lists this ribosomal RNA (611 nucleotides) under Hippoglossoides robustus (Bering flounder). RNAcentral describes it as "partial 16S ribosomal RNA". It matches the Rfam family "Bacterial large subunit ribosomal RNA", at positions 1809 to 2610 of the family's 2925-position model. Lineage: Eukaryota; Metazoa; Chordata; Actinopteri; Pleuronectiformes; Pleuronectidae. The record is from RNAcentral.